UGAGCCGGCCGGGUGGCCGCGGCGUGGUUUCCACGCUGAGGAAGGUCGGGGCUCCGUAGGGCAGGAUGCUGGCUAGCGGCCAGUCGGGGCGACCCGCAGGAAAGUGCCACAGAGAACAGACCGCCGAUGGCCCGGCCCCUCGGGAUCGGGCACAGGUGAGGGUGAAACGGUGCGGUAAGAGCGCACCAGCGGCCGGGGCGACCCGGUUGGCUCGGCAAACCCCAUCCGGAGCAAGGCCGAACAGGGAGAGGGUGGUCCGCCCGUCGAUCCUCCCGGGUUGGCCGCAUAGAUGGAUGGUCACCCACCCGGAGUCCCGUAAGGGCCCGGUGGACAGAACCCCGCCUACAGGUCGGCUCACCGU
This 361-nucleotide RNase P RNA is filed under the name Acidimicrobiaceae bacterium. Its description in RNAcentral is "RNase P RNA component class A". It matches the Rfam family "Bacterial RNase P class A". From Rfam's summary of the family: Ribonuclease P (RNase P) is a ubiquitous endoribonuclease, found in archaea, bacteria and eukarya as well as chloroplasts and mitochondria. Its best characterised activity is the generation of mature 5'-ends of tRNAs by cleaving the 5'-leader elements of precursor-tRNAs. Cellular RNase Ps are ribonucleoproteins. Lineage: Bacteria; Bacillati; Actinomycetota; Acidimicrobiia; Acidimicrobiales; Acidimicrobiaceae. The record is from RNAcentral.